Molecule: long non-coding RNA, 270 nt
Organism: Populus euphratica (Euphrates poplar)
Lineage: Eukaryota; Viridiplantae; Streptophyta; Magnoliopsida; Malpighiales; Salicaceae
Exons: 3
Source: RefSeq, a predicted model, not a curated record
GAGAAAAGAGGGGACAAGAAGGGAAAAGGAAGAGAUUGAGAGUAAAUAACUUUAAAAGUUCUCCUAACGAUCCUCAAUAGGAUUUUCGGGUCUUUCGUCUGACGUUCCUUUUAGUUCUAUAUUUUACGAGUUCUUAGUUUCUGAUAGCAGUUGGACUUUAUUGAGUGUUCCUGCUUCUUCAGCUUUGGGUCAGUAUGCCUUACUUAUUGUUCAAGGCUGUUUUAAUUCGAUAUCUUAGACGCUCCACUAUUACUCUGUUUUAAUUAAGUU